GCCCUAGUAGUGUAGUUGGUCAUCAUGCGGCCCUGUCGAGGCCGCGACCCGGGUUCGAAUCCCGGUUCGGGCG
Molecule: transfer RNA, 73 nt
Filed under: Nanobdellota archaeon
Lineage: Archaea; Nanobdellati; Nanobdellota
Description: tRNA-Asp
Rfam family: tRNA
About the family: Transfer RNA (tRNA) molecules are approximately 80 nucleotides in length. Their secondary structure includes four short double-helical elements and three loops (D, anti-codon, and T loops).
Source: RNAcentral